This 915-nucleotide ribosomal RNA is filed under the name uncultured bacterium. Its description in RNAcentral is "bacterial SSU rRNA". It matches the Rfam family "Bacterial small subunit ribosomal RNA", at positions 49 to 974 of the family's 1533-position model. The record is from RNAcentral.
CUACCAUGCAGUCGAGGGGUAUGGCAGCAAUGCCAGAGACCGGCGCACGGGUGCGUAACGCGUAUGCAAUCUACCUUUUACAGGGGAAUAGCCCAGAGAAAUUUGGAUUAAUGCCCCAUGGUAUUACGAGAUGGCGUCAUUUUGUAAUUAAAGUUCCAACGGUAAAAGAUGAGCAUGCGUCCCAUUAGUUAGUUGGUAAGGUAACGGCUUACCAAGACGAUGAUGGGUAGGGGUCCUGAGAGGGAGAUCCCCCACACUGGUACUGAGACACGGACCAGACUCCUACGGGAGGCAGCAGUGAGGAAUAUUGGACAAUGGGCGCAAGCCUGAUCCAGCCAUGCCGCGUGCAGGAAGAAGCAUCUAUGGUGUGUAAACUGCUUUUGUACAGGAAGAAACACUCCCUCGUGAGGGAGCUUGACGGUACUGUAAGAAUAAGGAUCGGCUAACUCCGUGCCAGCAGCCGCGGUAAUACGGAGGAUCCAAGCGUUAUCCGGAAUCAUUGGGUUUAAAGGGUCCGUAGGCGGUUUUGUAAGUCAGUGGUGAAAUCUGGUCGCUCAACGAUCAAACGGCCAUUGAUACUGCAAGACUUGAAUUAUUGGGAAGUAACUAGAAUAUGUAGUGUAGCGGUGAAAUGCUUAGAUAUUACAUGGAAUACCAAUUGCGAAGGCAGGUUACUAUCAAUAUAUUGACGCUGAUGGACGAAAGCGUGGGGAGCGAACAGGAUUAGAUACCCUGGUAGUCCACGCCGUANACGAUGGAUACUAGCUGUUGGGGUUUACCUCAGUGGCUAAGCGAAAGUGAUAAGUAUCCCACCUGGGGAGUACGUUCGCAAGAAUGAAACUCAAAGGAAUUGACGGGGGCCCGCACAAGCGGUGGAGCAUGUGGUUUUAUUCGAUGAUACGCGAGGAACCUUAC